This is a non-coding RNA of Echinostoma caproni, 45 nucleotides long. The record is from Rfam. NCBI's taxonomy places the organism in Eukaryota, Metazoa, Platyhelminthes, Trematoda, Plagiorchiida, Echinostomatidae.
GCACUGCUGACGAGUCCCAAAUAGGACGAAACAGCUGUCCAGUGC